AUGCUCUCCAAUAACAGCCUGGAGGCUUUAAGUGGCAGAUAUAUAAAAAAGCUUCUGCCUUGCCCCACAAGGCUUCCAGACUCCUUCUGGAUGGCUUGUUCAUUUGUCUUCUUCUAAGGUAAGACUACUAUGGGGUGGAAAAAUGCUUGUACGCCCACUAGGUGCUGUGAAGGCAACCUUGAAUCCUCUAAUUAUGUGUUCAUAAUCUACUCCGUCUUCCCAGGGAGUAAAUAAGUGAGGUAAGAGAGGUUUGGGGAGGGAUGAAGCAGGGAUGAAGUCCCUGUAAAAGACCCCAAACAAUCUAAUAUGAGAGCAAGCCACAGAGACCAGAAAAGCCAGAGCAUCAGAGGAGAGACAUGCAGAUUUGUGGGGUCUCAGAGCACAGUGAGACUAUGUGAGGAAGAGCAGAGCCUUGGUUCUCCUUCAUGCGUGACCAUGGCAGACCUCGGCCUUGGCAAAGCGGACCAUCACAUCAGCUCAACAUGCUUGUGUGCAUCCACUGAGCAAUGUCACAGCAGAAGCAGCAAUCUCAGGAGGCUCCAGCUGCUCCCAAAGGUUCUCCUGCCCAGUGCCCAAAUCUCUACCUGGCUCUCUGCUCUGUUCCUUGUGGGGCUUCCUGUUCAGGAGGCUGCCAUUCCUGUUCCCAAAAGCAGCAGGCUCAGAGUCCAGCCUGCCCCAGGAGGGCUCGCCGCCAGAAGCCCAGCUGUCUCAGUGGUGGUAGAGUCCACUAUUGCAAAGAGGAGGAAUGCUAAGGCGACCUGGUGCAGAGGACUGAGGCACCGGUACGACCGCUCUCACCUCAGCCUAACCUUGUGUACUAAUUCUAAGUGGAAGUCCAGGCCUCCACGUCUCACUGGGCUGAGAAACACUUCCUGCCCGCAGCCUUGGAGAAGUGAGAACUGGGCUAAGCAGCUCUUCUGCUUUUCUCUCCUAUCCACCCCUUCAGCUCAGCCACAGUACAGCUGUGUGGCUGAAGUGUGCCUGUAGCUUCCGGGAAUCCUUGAGCCCCUGAGGCCCAAGUGGAUGGUGUCCCUCCUUUUUUCCCUUCCCAGAUGGUCCGUGUAGUUGAUGUCUUUUUAAAGAAACAAGGGCUUGGGGACUGGAAUUCUAGUUCUUAUCAACGUCACAACCAUGAACAUUUAUCAUACAGGAUUCUAGCCCUGACGGCUGCAAUGCAAUACACCCAGGUUGUGCACCUACUGUGUGCUGCCCUCGCACUCACAGAUAUAAGCAGGAGAUUUGACUGCUGCUCUAGAAAAAUCUUAUAUGUAAUGAAAGAAGCAAUGCAACCUCCAGAUUGAAACACAUGGAUCAAUAAAUGUAAUUUUAACCAGAUUAAAUCUUCAGUGCGUGUCAUAAAGAAAUUCAAGCAAUCAUAAUAAUCAUAAUAAUAUUCAAAAAAAGGUCAUAGGUAGCAGUAAGAAACUCAUUCUGGUGGAGUGGGCCAGAAAUGGUUUCUGGGCCUUGGAGGGAGAGAUCAGAAAUAGGAAGUGCACCCCAUUUGGAGAUGAGGAGCACCUGCUUCAUGGAAUAGGAAGCAUUCAAACAGGGCCCUUCAUCUUGUUUUUUUUUUUUUUUUUUGGUUUUUCUCUGG
Long non-coding RNA from Chinchilla lanigera (long-tailed chinchilla), 1594 nucleotides. Lineage: Eukaryota; Metazoa; Chordata; Mammalia; Rodentia; Chinchillidae. The record is from Ensembl.